RNAcentral lists this ribosomal RNA (124 nucleotides) under Bison bison bison. Lineage: Eukaryota; Metazoa; Chordata; Mammalia; Artiodactyla; Bovidae. The record is from RNAcentral.
GUCUCAGGCCAUAUUCAGCCUCGAAAGGCGCCCGAUUCUCCUCUGAUCUCGGAAGCUAAGCAGGGUCGGGCCUGGUUAGGAUCUUGGAUGGGAGACCACCUGGGAAUCCCGGGUGCUCGAGGCU